Molecule: ribosomal RNA, 496 nt
Filed under: uncultured bacterium
Lineage: Bacteria
Description: partial 16S ribosomal RNA
Rfam family: Bacterial small subunit ribosomal RNA
Source: RNAcentral
GAUGAACGCUGGCGGCGUGCCUAAUACAUGCAAGUCGAGCGAACAGACGAGGAGCUUGCUCCUCUGACGUUAGCGGCGGACGGGUGAGUAACACGUGGAUAACCUACCUAUAAGACUGGGAUAACUUCGGGAAACCGGAGCUAAUACCGGAUAAUAUAUUGAACCGCAUGGUUCAAUAGUGAAAGACGGUUUUGCUGUCACUUAUAGAUGGAUCCGCGCCGCAUUAGCUAGUUGGUAAGGUAACGGCUUACCAAGGCAACGAUGCGUAGCCGACCUGAGAGGGUGAGCGGCCCAAAUGGAACUGAAACCGGGCCCAGACCCCCAGGGGGGGCAGCAGGGGGGAAUUUUCCGAAAUGGGGGAAAGCCUGAGGGAGCAACGCCGGGGGGGUGAUGAAGGUUUUCGGAUUGAAAAACUUUUUUUUUGGGGAAGAAAAAAUGUGAAAGUAACUAUGCACGUUUUGACGGUACCUAAGCAGAAAGCCACGGCUAACUACGU